CCUACGGGAGGCAGCAGUGGGGAAUAUUGCACAAUGGAGGAAACUCUGAUGCAGCGACGCCGCGUGAGUGAAGAAGUAUUUCGGUAUGUAAAGCUCUAUCAGCAGGGAAGAAGACGACGGUACCUGACUAAGAAGCCCCGGCUAACUACGUGCCAGCAGCCGCGGUAAU
RNAcentral lists this ribosomal RNA (169 nucleotides) under uncultured rumen bacterium. RNAcentral describes it as "partial 16S ribosomal RNA". It matches the Rfam family "Bacterial small subunit ribosomal RNA", at positions 338 to 524 of the family's 1533-position model. The record is from RNAcentral.